GUUGUAGUCUGGAGAAGUGCUUUCCGCGCUGGACCGUGUAUAAGUCUCUUGGAACAGAGCGUCAUAGAGGGUGAGAAUCCCGUCUUUGACACGGACUACCAGUGCUUUGUGAUGCGCUCUCAAAGAGUCGAGUUGUUUGGGAAUGCAGCUCAAAAUGGGUGGUGAAUUCCAUCUAAAGCUAAAUAUUGGCGAGAGACCGAUAGCGAACAAGUACCGUGAGGGAAAGAUGAAAAGCACUUUGGAAAGAGAGUUAAACAGUACGUGAAAUUGCUGAAAGGGAAACGCUUGAAGUCAGUCGCGUCUUCCGGAACUCAGCCUUCCUUUUGGUUGGUGCACUUUCCGGUUGACGGGCCAGCAUCAAUUUCGACCGUCGGAAAAGGGCUGGGGAAAUGUGGCACCUUUCGGGGUGUGUUAUAGUCCUCAGUCGCAUACGUCGGUCGGGAUUGAGGAUCGCAGCGCGCCGCAAGGCAGGGGGUUAGCCCACUUUCGCGCUUAGGAUGCUGGCAUAAUGGCUUUAAACGACCCGUCUUGAAACACGGACCAAGGAGUCUAACAAACCUGCGAGUGUUUGGGUGGAAAACCCGAGCGCGUAAUGAAAGUGAAAGUUGAGACCUCUGUCGUGGAGGGCAUCGACGCCCGGACCUGACGUUCUCUGACGGAUCCGCGGUAGAGCAUGUUUGUUGGGACCCGAAAGAUGGUGAACUAUGCCUGAAUAGGGUGAAGCCAGAGGAAACUCUGGUG
Molecule: ribosomal RNA, 741 nt
Filed under: Polyporus ciliatus
Lineage: Eukaryota; Fungi; Basidiomycota; Agaricomycetes; Polyporales; Polyporaceae
Description: LSU rRNA
Rfam family: Eukaryotic large subunit ribosomal RNA
Source: RNAcentral